GGGAACAUACCUUUUGGUUCGGAACAACACAGGGAAACUUGUGCUAAUACCGGAUAAGCCCUUACGGGGAAAGAUUUAUCGCCGAAAGAUUGGCCCGCGUCUGAUUAGCUAGUUGGUGAGGUAACGGCUCACCAAGGCGACGAUCAGUAGCUGGUCUGAGAGGAUGAUCAGCCACAUUGGGACUGAGACACGGCCCAAACUCCUACGGGAGGCAGCAGUGGGGAAUAUUGGACAAUGGGCGCAAGCCUGAUCCAGCCAUGCCGCGUGAGUGAUGAAGGCCCUAGGGUUGUAAAGCUCUUUUGUGCGGGAAGAUAAUGACGGUACCGCAAGAAUAAGCCCCGGCUAACUUCGUGCCAGCAGCCGCGGUAAUACGAAGGGGGCUAGCGUUGCUCGGAAUCACUGGGCGUAAAGGGUGCGUAGGCGGGUCUUUAAGUCAGGGGUGAAAUCCUGGAGCUCAACUCCAGAACUGCCUUUGAUACUGAAGAUCUUGAGUUCGGGAGAGGUGAGUGGAACUGCGAGUGUAGAGGUGAAAUUCGUAGAUAUUCGCAAGAACACCAGUGGCGAAGGCGGCUCACUGGCCCGAUACUGACGCUGAGC
This 597-nucleotide ribosomal RNA is filed under the name Bradyrhizobium sp. RNAcentral describes it as "bacterial SSU rRNA". It matches the Rfam family "Bacterial small subunit ribosomal RNA", at positions 120 to 752 of the family's 1533-position model. The record is from RNAcentral. Lineage: Bacteria; Pseudomonadati; Pseudomonadota; Alphaproteobacteria; Hyphomicrobiales; Nitrobacteraceae.